Molecule: non-coding RNA, 124 nt
Organism: Triticum aestivum (bread wheat)
Lineage: Eukaryota; Viridiplantae; Streptophyta; Magnoliopsida; Poales; Poaceae
Source: Rfam
UUUGUACUCCCUCCGUUCGGAAUUACUCGUCCAAGAAAUGAAUGUAUCUAGAUGUAUUUUAGUUGUAGAUACAUUCAUUUUUAUCCAUUUUAUGACAAGUAAUUCCGAACGGAGGGAGUAUUAU